CGCAGUAGCCUAGUCUUUGAUAAUGCAUGGUGACAGCAGAACGGUCUGGAAAGGCCGGCCACAGUGGGUGACAGCCCCGUAUGCGAAGUCCGGUGCAUGGUACUAAAAAGACGAUAAGUAGGGCGGGACACGUGACAUCCUGUCCGAAGAUGGGGGGACCAUCCUCCAAGGCUAAAUACUCAUGAUCGACCGAUAGCGAACCAGUACUGUGAAGGAAAGGCGAAAAGAACCCCGGGAGGGGAGUGAAAUAGAACCUGAAACCGCAUACAUACAAACAGUAGGAGCCCUACGGGGUGACUGCGUACCUUUUGCAUAAUGGGUCAGCGACUUACGUUUUGCGGCAAGCUUAACCGAGUAGGGGAGGCGCAGCGAAAGCGAGUUCGAACAGAGCGAUAGAGUCGUAAGGCGUAGACCCGAAACCAGAUGAGCUAACCAUGGCCAGGUUGAAGGUGUGGUAACACACACUGGAGGACCGAACCGACUAGUGUUGCAAAAUUAGCGGAUGAGCUGUGGAUAGGGGUGAAAGGCUUAACAAAUCUGGAGAUAGCUGGUUCUCCCCGAAAACUAUUGAGGUAGUGCCUCGUGACUGACUCCGGGGGGUAGAGCACUGUUAUGGCUAGGGGGACAUGGCGUCUUACCAAACCAUGGCAAACUCCGAAUACUUGGAAGUAAGAGCACGGGAGACAGAGCACCGGGUGCUAACGUCCGGACUCAAGAGGGAAACAACCCAGACCGCCGUUUAAGGUCCCAAAUACAGGCUAAGUGGAAAACGAAGUGUGAAGGCUAAGACAGUCAGGAAGUUGGCUUAGAAGCAGCCAUCCUUCAAAGAAAGCGUAAUAGCUCACUGAUCGAGUCCUCAUGCGCGGAAGAUGUAACGGGGCUAAGUCUGUAACCGAAAGCGCGGAUUUGUACGCAAGUACAAGUGGUAGGGGAGCGUUCUGUAAGCCUGCGAAGGUGUGUGGUAACGCAUGCCGGAGGUAUCAGAAGUGCGAAUGCUGACAUGAGUAACGAUAAAGCGGGUGAAAAGCCCGCUCGCCGUAAGCCCAAGGUUUCCUGCUCUACGUUCAUCGGAGCAGGGUGAGUCGGCCCCUAAGGCCAGGCUGAGAAGCGUAGCUGAUGGGAAGCAGAUUAAGAUUUCUGCACCGACGUUAAGUGCGAAGGGGGGACGGAGUUUUGAGCAUCAUCCGGGUGUUGGAUGUCCCGGUUUGUGCGUGUAGGAGGCCGGCAGGCAAAUCCGCCGGCGAAUCUCCGAGACAAAGCAUCGAGCUGCAUUUUGCAGUGAAGUGAUGGGAUGAACUUCCAGGAAAAGCCUCUAAGCAAUAGCUUAAUGUCGACCGUACCGUAAACCGACACAGGUGGGCGAGUUGAAUAUACUCAGGCGCUUGAGAGAACUCGGGAGAAGGAACUCGGCAAAUUGACACCGUAACUUCGGGAUAAGGUGUGCCUUUGUAGUGUGAAGAGUGAAACACUCCGAGCAUGAAGAGGUCACAGAGAAUAGGUGGCUGCAACUGUUUACUAAAAACACAGCACUCUGCAAAGACGAAAGUCGACGUAUAGGGUGUGAUGCCUGCCCGGUGCCGGAAGAUUAAGUGAUGGGGUGAGAGCUCCUGAUCGAAGUCCCGGUAAACGGCGGCCGUAACUAUAACGGUCCUAAGGUAGCGAAAUUCCUUGUC
RNAcentral lists this ribosomal RNA (1673 nucleotides) under human gut metagenome. RNAcentral's name for it is "bacterial LSU rRNA". It matches the Rfam family "Bacterial large subunit ribosomal RNA", at positions 293 to 1973 of the family's 2925-position model. The record is from RNAcentral.